This 1447-nucleotide ribosomal RNA is filed under the name uncultured organism. Its description in RNAcentral is "SSU rRNA". It matches the Rfam family "Bacterial small subunit ribosomal RNA". The record is from RNAcentral.
AACGCUAGCUACAGGCUUAACACAUGCAAGUCGAGGGGCAGCAUGGUCUUAGCUUGCUAAGGCCGAUGGCGACCGGCGCACGGGUGAGUAACACGUAUCCAACCUGCUGUCUACUCUUGGACAGCCUUCUGAAAGGAAGAUUAAUACAAGAUGGCAUCAUGAGUCCGCAUGUUCACAUGAUUAAAGGUAUUCCGGUAGACGAUGGGGAUGCGUUCCAUUAGAUAGUAGGCGGGGUAACGGCCCACCUAGUCUUCGAUGGAUAGGGGUUCUGAGAGGAAGGUCCCCCACAUUGGAACUGAGACACGGUCCAAACUCCUACGGGAGGCAGCAGUGAGGAAUAUUGGUCAAUGGGCGAGAGCCUGAACCAGCCAAGUAGCGUGAAGGAUGACUGCCCUAUGGGUUGUAAACUUCUUUUAUAAAGGAAUAAAGUCGGGUAUGGAUACCCGUUUGCAUGUACUUUAUGAAUAAGGAUCGGCUAACUCCGUGCCAGCAGCCGCGGUAAUACGGAGGAUCCGAGCGUUAUCCGGAUUUAUUGGGUUUAAAGGGAGCGUAGAUGGAUGUUUAAGUCAGUUGUGAAAGUUUGCGGCUCAACCGUAAAAUUGCAGUUGAUACUGGAUAUCUUGAGUGCAGUUGAGGCAGGCGGAAUUCGUGGUGUAGCGGGGAAAUGCUUAGAUAUCACGAAGAACUCCGAUUGCGAAGGCAGCCUGCUAAGCUGCAACUGACAUUGAGGCUCGAAAGUGUGGGUAUCAAACAGGAUUAGAUACCCUGGUAGUCCACACGGUAAACGAUGAAUACUCGCUGUUUGCGAUAUACUGCAAGCGGCCAAGCGAAAGCGUUAAGUAUUCCACCUGGGGAGUACGCCGGCAACGGUGAAACUCAAAGGAAUUGACGGGGGCCCGCACAAGCGGAGGAACAUGUGGUUUAAUUCGAUGAUACGCGAGGAACCUUACCCGGGCUUAAAUUGCAGAUGAAUUACGGUGAAAGCCGUAAGCCGCAAGGCAUCUGUGAAGGUGCUGCAUGGUUGUCGUCAGCUCGUGCCGUGAGGUGUCGGCUUAAGUGCCAUAACGAGCGCAACCCUUGUUGUCAGUUACUAACAGGUUCCGCUGAGGACUCUGACAAGACUGCCAUCGUAAGAUGUGAGGAAGGUGGGGAUGACGUCAAAUCAGCACGGCCCUUACGUCCGGGGCUACACACGUGUUACAAUGGGGGGUACAGAGGGCCGCUACCACGCGAGUGGAUGCCAAUCCCCAAAACCUCUCUCAGUUCGGACUGGAGUCUGCAACCCGACUCCACGAAGCUGGAUUCGCUAGUAAUCGCGCAUCAGCCACGGCGCGGUGAAUACGUUCCCGGGCCUUGUACACACCGCCCGUCAAGCCAUGGGAGCCGGGGGUACCUGAAGUGCGUAACCGCGAGGAGCGCCCUAGGGUAAAACUGGUGACUGGGGCUA